UGCGUAAUAGCUCACUGGUCGAGUGGUUCUGCGCCGACAAUGUAGUGGGGCUCAAGUACACCGCCGAAGCCGCGGCAUAGUUUUUACUAUGGGUAGGGGAGCGUCGUGCAUGGGGUGAAGCCAUACUGUAAGGGGUGGUGGACUGUGUGCGAGUGAGAAUGCAGGCAUGAGUAACGAGAGAUACGUGAGAAUCGUAUCCGCU
RNAcentral lists this ribosomal RNA (202 nucleotides) under Ctenophora environmental sample. RNAcentral's name for it is "partial Bacterial large subunit ribosomal RNA". It matches the Rfam family "Bacterial large subunit ribosomal RNA", at positions 1131 to 1338 of the family's 2925-position model. The record is from RNAcentral. Lineage: Eukaryota; Metazoa; Ctenophora.